UCGGUGUCAGAUAUUGGGCGUAAGGGCUCGCAGGCGGUUUCUUAAGUCUGAUGUGAAAGCCCCCGGCUCAACCGGGGAGGGUCAUUGGAAACUGGGAAACUUGAGUGCAGAAGAGGAGAGUGGAAUUCCACGUGUAGCGGUGAAAUGCGUAGAGAUGUGGAGGAACACCAGUGGCGAAGGCGACUCUCUGGUCUGUAACUGACGCUGAGGAGCGAAAGCGUGGGGAGCGAACAGGAUUAGAUACCCUGGUAGUCCACGCCGUAAACGAUGAGUGCUAAGUGUUAGGGGGUUUCCGCCCCUUAGUGCUGCAGCUAACGCAUUAAGCACUCCGCCUGGGGAGUACGGUCGCAAGACUGAAACUCAAAGGAAUUGACGGGGGCCCGCACAAGCGGUGGAGCAUGUGGUUUAAUUCGAAGCAACGCGAAGAACCUUACCAGGUCUUGACAUCCUCUGACAACCCUAGAGAUAGGGCUUUCCCUUCGGGGACAGAGUGACAGGUGGUGCAUGGUUGUCGUCAGCUCGUGUCGUGAGAUGUUGGGUUAAGUCCCGCAACGAGCGCAACCCUUGAUCUUAGUUGCCAGCAUUUAGUUGGGCACUCUAAGGUGACUGCCGGUGACAAACCGGAGGAAGGUGGGGGAUGACGUCAAAUCAUCAUGCCCCUUAUGACCUGGGCUACACACGUGCUACAAUGGACAGGA
RNAcentral lists this ribosomal RNA (698 nucleotides) under Bacillus pumilus. RNAcentral describes it as "bacterial SSU rRNA". It matches the Rfam family "Bacterial small subunit ribosomal RNA", at positions 541 to 1239 of the family's 1533-position model. The record is from RNAcentral. Lineage: Bacteria; Bacillati; Bacillota; Bacilli; Caryophanales; Bacillaceae.